Molecule: ribosomal RNA, 450 nt
Filed under: uncultured bacterium
Lineage: Bacteria
Description: partial 16S ribosomal RNA
Rfam family: Bacterial small subunit ribosomal RNA
Source: RNAcentral
CCUACGGGUGGCAGCAGUAAGGAAUAUUGGUCAAUGGACGAAAGUCUGAACCAGCCAUCCCGCGUGCAGGAUGAAGGCCCUAUGGGUUGUAAACUGCUUUUAGCAGAGAAGAAAAGCUAUCAUUAAUGAGAGUCUGACGGUAUCUGCAGAAUAAGCACCGGCUAACUCCGUGCCAGCAGCCGCGGUAAUACGGAGGGUGCGAGCGUUACUCGGUAUUACUGGGUUGAAGGCGUGCGUUGGCGGCGGUGGUGAAAUCUUGUCGCUUAACGAUAGAAUUGCCAAUGAUACUGGUACUCUUGAAUUGGGUUGAGGUUAGCGGAAUGUGACAUGUAGCGGUGAAAUGCAUAGAUAUGUCAUGGAACACCAAUUGCGAAGGCAGCUAACUGGGCCUUGAUUGACGCUGAGGCACGAAAGCGUGGGUAGCGAACAGGAUUAGAUACCCGAGUAGUC